Transfer RNA from Felis catus (domestic cat), 85 nucleotides. It matches the Rfam family "tRNA". From Rfam's summary of the family: Transfer RNA (tRNA) molecules are approximately 80 nucleotides in length. Their secondary structure includes four short double-helical elements and three loops (D, anti-codon, and T loops). Lineage: Eukaryota; Metazoa; Chordata; Mammalia; Carnivora; Felidae. The record is from Rfam.
GCCUGGGUGGCUCAGUCCGUUAAGCAUCUGACUUCAGCUCAGGUCAUGAUCUCACAGUUUGUGGGUUCAAGUCCCGCGUCAGGCU